CAGUAACGGCGAGUGAAGCGGCAAUAGCUCAAAUUUGAAAUCUGGCUCUUUCAGAGUCCGAGUUGUAAUUUGCAGAGGGCGCUUUGGCGUUGGCAGCAGCCUAAGUUCCUUGGAACAGGUCAUCAUAGAGGGUGAGAAUCCCGUAUGUGGCUGGUUGUCUUCGCCGUGUAAAGCCCCUUCGACGAGUCGAGUUGUUUGGGAAUGCAGCUCUAAAUGGGAGGUAAAUUUCUUCUAAAGCUAAAUAUUGGCCAGAGACCGAUAGCGCACAAGUAGAGUGAUCGAAAGAUGAAAAGCACUUUGGAAAGAGAGUCAAAAAGCACGUGAAAUUGUUGAAAGGGAAGCGCUUGCAGCCAGACGUGCCUGUAGUUGCUCAUCUGGGGAUCUCCCCAGUGCACUCUUCUAUAGGCAGGCCAGCAUCAGUCCGGGCGGUUGGAGAAAGACCUGUGUCACGUAUCUGUCUUCGGGCAGUGUUAUAGGGCAGGUGGAAUACAACCAGCCUGGACUGAGGUCCGCGCAUCUGCUAGGAUGCUGGCGUAAUGGCUGUAAGCGGCCCGUCUUGAAACACGGACCAAGGAGUCUAACAUCUAUGCGAGUGUUUGGGUGUCAAGCCCGAGCGCGUAAUGAAAGUGAACGGAGGUGGGAACCUUAGGGUGCACCAUCGACCGAUCCUGAUGUCUUCGGAUGGAUUUGAGUAAGAGCAUAGCUGUUGGGACCCGAAAGAUGGUGAACUAUGCCUGAAUAGGGUGAAGCCAGAGGAAACUCUGGUGGAGGCUCGCAGCGGUUCUGACGUGCAAAUCGAUCGUCAAAUUUGGGCA
This 815-nucleotide ribosomal RNA is filed under the name Bertiella fici. RNAcentral's name for it is "Bertiella sp. DST-2020a partial large subunit ribosomal RNA". It matches the Rfam family "Eukaryotic large subunit ribosomal RNA", at positions 81 to 917 of the family's 3401-position model. The record is from RNAcentral. Lineage: Eukaryota; Fungi; Ascomycota; Dothideomycetes; Pleosporales; Massarinaceae.